UACGUAGGGUGCAAGCGUUAAUCGGAAUUACUGGUCGUAAAGCGUGCGCAGGCGGUUAUGUAAGACAGAUGUGAAAUGCCCGGGCUUAACCUGGGAACUGCAUUUGUGACUGCAUGGCUAGAGUUUGGCAGAGGGGGGUAGAAUUCCACGUGUAGCAGUGAAAUGCGUAGAUAUGUGGAGGAACACCGAUGGCGAAGGCAGCCCCCUGGGUCAAGACUGACGCUCAUGCACGAAAGCGUGGGGAGCAAACAGG
Molecule: ribosomal RNA, 253 nt
Filed under: uncultured bacterium
Lineage: Bacteria
Description: partial 16S ribosomal RNA
Rfam family: Bacterial small subunit ribosomal RNA
Source: RNAcentral